This 73-nucleotide transfer RNA is filed under the name Cordylochernes scorpioides. Its description in RNAcentral is "tRNA-Thr". The record is from RNAcentral. Lineage: Eukaryota; Metazoa; Arthropoda; Arachnida; Pseudoscorpiones; Chernetidae.
GUCCAGGGAUGGGAAUCGAACCCACAGUGUUCUGCUUACCGAGCAGAUGCCAUGUCCACUAGGCUACCCUGGA